Molecule: non-coding RNA, 21 nt
Filed under: Caenorhabditis elegans
Lineage: Eukaryota; Metazoa; Nematoda; Chromadorea; Rhabditida; Rhabditidae
Source: RNAcentral
UCAAGAAUAAAUAGUGAAUAG